RNAcentral lists this ribosomal RNA (465 nucleotides) under Vreelandella stevensii. RNAcentral describes it as "partial 16S ribosomal RNA". It matches the Rfam family "Bacterial small subunit ribosomal RNA", at positions 338 to 795 of the family's 1533-position model. The record is from RNAcentral. Lineage: Bacteria; Pseudomonadati; Pseudomonadota; Gammaproteobacteria; Oceanospirillales; Halomonadaceae.
CCUACGGGUGGCAGCAGUGGGGAAUAUUGGACAAUGGGCGAAAGCCUGAUCCAGCCAUGCCGCGUGUGUGAAGAAGGCCUUCGGGUUGUAAAGCACUUUCAGUGGGGAAGAAAGCCUUGGGGCUAAUACCCUCGAGGAAGGACAUCACCCACAGAAGAAGCACCGGCUAACUCCGUGCCAGCAGCCGCGGGAAUACGGAGGGUGCGAGCGUUAAUCGGAAUUACUGGGCGUAAAGCGCGCGUAGGCGGUCUGAUAAGCCGGUUGUGAAAGCCCCGGGCUCAACCUGGGAACGGCAUCCGGAACUGUCAGGCUAGAGUGCAGGAGAGGAAGGUAGAAUUCCCGGUGUAGCGGUGAAAUGCGUAGAGAUCGGGAGGAAUACCAGUGGCGAAGGCGGCCUUCUGGACUGACACUGACGCUGAGGUGCGAAAGCGUGGGUAGCAAACAGGAUUAGAUACCCCGGUAGUC